UCCUCAUAAGAGGCACACCGGGGGCUCCCCUUAGAUCCUGCAGUUUCUCUUCUCCAGGGCUCCUUGGCUGGAUAUGAGAGAAUGAGAACAAUCGCCAGUUUGGGCUCUCUUCUUGGGCCGAGAGCACAGUCCGAGGUUCAACAAGCUCCCUCCUGGGUCUUUCUGAUAGAACUUUUUAUAGAGCUCAAGCUUGGCGAGCCUGGCCGACGCUGCCAUCUGCAGGGAGCGGGGAAGGGUCUGUCGUGUGUCCGCGGGCUCUGGUCAUUUGCUAAGUGGCUGGGCUGUGUCGUGUUCUGGUGCGUUCUCCUGUGUGAUCGCAUGCACAGCCUUCCGGCUCACGUUCCAGCCGAGGUGGGGCUGGGCACGCACAGGGCCUCUAGUUCCCUCUUGGUCUCUUUCCACGAGGACAUCAGGGCUGCCAGUGCGGUCAGGCCCAUCUGUUUUCUGCAGCAGAGCAUGUUGUUGCAUUGUCUCAGGGUGGGAGUGGCGAGAGGAAGGAGGCGUGAUGGGGUUGGGACAUGAGGAGACAGCAGCCAGUGCGCCUCCGCUCAGGCUGGUCCGCGGCCAAACUGAUGGGAGGCCCAUUGGAGGAUCCAGAAUUCAGAGUCCGGGAAAGGCGGCUGUGGAGUCUCCGGGACAGGAGGCAGGGCUGGCGCUGGGGUCUCAGCCUCCCUUCCGUGCAGGCUCUGUUCCAGGAGUCCAUCUGGCUGCACAGAAAUACACACGGAAUGAGGCUCAGCCUCUGACCUCGCUCUGCCUGCGUCCAAAACGGCCGGUAGGAGCUUCGAUCAAGGGCAGGGGACCAUACAGUGUCUACACCAGCAACUACUGCGGAAGAGAUAAGCAGCCCCUGGCGAUCACCGCUCAAUAUUCUAUAUGAAUUUGACAACUCCAGGUGCCUCAUGUACCUGCAGAAGUAAC
Long non-coding RNA from Dama dama (fallow deer), 921 nucleotides. RefSeq lists it as uncharacterized. The transcript is spliced from 4 exons. NCBI's taxonomy places the organism in Eukaryota, Metazoa, Chordata, Mammalia, Artiodactyla, Cervidae. The record is from RefSeq and is a predicted model, not a curated record.